This 428-nucleotide ribosomal RNA is filed under the name uncultured bacterium. Its description in RNAcentral is "partial 16S ribosomal RNA". It matches the Rfam family "Bacterial small subunit ribosomal RNA", at positions 354 to 796 of the family's 1533-position model. The record is from RNAcentral.
GUGGGGAAUAUUGGGCAAUGGGCGAAAGCCUGACCCAGCAACGCCGCGUGAUUGAAGAAGGCCUUCGGGUUGUAAAGAUCUUUAAUUGGGGACGAAAUAAAUGACGGUACCCAAAGAAUAAGCUCCGGCUAACUACGUGCCAGCAGCCGCGGUAAUACGUAGGGAGCAAGCGUUAUCCGGAUUUACUGGGUGUAAAGGGCGAGUAGGCGGGCCGACAAGUUGGGAGUGAAAUCCGGGGGCUUAACCCCCGAACUGCUUUCAAAACUGUUGGUCUUGAGUGAUGGAGAGGCAGGCGGAAUUCCCAGUGUAGCGGUGAAAUGCGUAGAUAUUGGGAGGAACACCAGUGGCGAAGGCGGCCUGCUGGACAUUAACUGACGCUGAGGCGCGAAAGCGUGGGGAGCAAACAGGAUUAGAAACCCGAGUAGUCC